Long non-coding RNA from Notolabrus celidotus (New Zealand spotty), 260 nucleotides. RefSeq lists it as uncharacterized. The transcript is spliced from 2 exons. NCBI's taxonomy places the organism in Eukaryota, Metazoa, Chordata, Actinopteri, Labriformes, Labridae. The record is from RefSeq and is a predicted model, not a curated record.
CUCUCUGCUCACCUGCCCUUGAUCUGCAAUCAACACUCCUGCUAGCCAUCAUCCAAUCACCACUGCCUACAAGAACCCUGUACUGCCCCCCAGUCCCUGCCGGAUCGUUGUGCCUACACGGACCCAUCUGCAUCCAUCUCUGCCACCUUCCUCACUCCCUUGCCAGUUCACCACUGUCUGGAUCCCUCCCUCAGCACCCCAGGAUCCCCCACCAGCUAUCCCUUCACCCUGCGCUUAUGUAAUAAAACUUUGAGAAACAA